This 352-nucleotide ribosomal RNA is filed under the name uncultured bacterium. RNAcentral's name for it is "bacterial SSU rRNA". It matches the Rfam family "Bacterial small subunit ribosomal RNA", at positions 8 to 349 of the family's 1533-position model. The record is from RNAcentral.
AGAGUUUGAUCAUGGCUCAGGAUGAACGCUAGCUACAGGCUUAACACAUGCAAGUCGAGGGGAAACGAUAUUGGAAGCUUGCUUCCGAUAGGCGUCGACCGGCGCACGGGUGAGUAACGCGUAUCCAACCUGCCCACCACUUGGGGAUAACCUUGCGAAAGUAAGACUAAUACCCAAUGACGUCUCUAGAAGACAUCUGAAAGAGAUUAAAGAUUUAUCGGUGAUGGAUGGGGAUGCGUCUGAUUAGCUUGUUGGCGGGGUAACGGCCACCAAGGCUACGAUCAGUAGGGGUUCUGAGAGGAAGGUCCCCCANAUUGGAACUGAGACACGGUCCAGACUCCGUACGGGAGCA